RNAcentral lists this ribosomal RNA (441 nucleotides) under uncultured bacterium. RNAcentral's name for it is "partial 16S ribosomal RNA". It matches the Rfam family "Bacterial small subunit ribosomal RNA", at positions 338 to 795 of the family's 1533-position model. The record is from RNAcentral.
CCUACGGGAGGCAGCAGUGGGGGAUAUUGCACAAUGGGGGGAACCCUGAUGCAGCGACGCCGCGUGGGUGAAGGAGUGCUUCGGCAUGUAAAGCCCUAUCGGCAGGGAAGAAGCAAGACGGUACCUGACUAAGAAGCCCCGGCUAACCACGUGCCAGCAGCCGCGGUAAUACGUAGGGGGCGAGCGUUAUCCGGGUUCACUGGGUGGAAAGGGAGCGUAGACGGCCAUGCAAGCCAGGGGUGAAAGCCCGGGGCCCAACCCCGGGACUGCCCUUGGAACUGCAUGGCUGGAGUUCGGGAGGGGCAGGCGGAAUUCCUGGUGUAGUGGUGAAAUGCGUAGAUAUCAGGAGGAACACCGGCGGCGAAGGCGGCCUGCUGGACCGCGACUGACGUUGAGGCUCGAAAGCGUGGGGAGCGAACAGGAUUAGAUACCCCUGUAGUC